This 465-nucleotide ribosomal RNA is filed under the name uncultured bacterium. RNAcentral describes it as "partial 16S ribosomal RNA". It matches the Rfam family "Bacterial small subunit ribosomal RNA", at positions 28 to 507 of the family's 1533-position model. The record is from RNAcentral.
GAUGAACGCUGGCGGCGUGCUUAACACAUGCAAGUCGAACGGAAAGGCUCCUGCUUGCAGGGGUACUCGAGUGGCGAACGGGUGAGUAACACGUGGGUGAUCUGCCCUGCACUUCGGGAUAAGCCUGGGAAACUGGGUCUAAUACCGGAUAGGACGAUGGUUUGGAUGCCAUCGUGGAAAGUUUUUCGGUGUGGGAUGAGCUCGCGGCCUAUCAGCUUGUUGGUGGGGUAAUGGCCUACCAAGGCGUCGACGGGUAGCCGGCCUGAGAGGGUGUACGGCCACAUUGGGACUGAGAUACGGCCCAGACUCCUACGGGAGGCAGCAGUGGGGAAUAUUGCACAAUGGGCGCAAGCCUGAUGCAGCGACGCCGCGUGGGGGAUGACGGCCUUCGGGUUGUAAACUCCUUUCGCUAGGGACGAAGCGCAAGUGACGGUACCUGGAGAAGAAGCACCGGCUAACUACGUG